UCUUCAGAUACGAUGGACUUGUCACAGAUCGAAAUAUCCGUACUUAGUAUUCCUGAAAUUCGUCCUCAGAAAAUCCCAUACCAAAUUUGUCCAGAUCCGAAUGCUAUAAUUUGGAGAUCAAAGCCAACAAAAAAGUAAAGACAGGAGAGAGCAUCAUAUGCAGAGAGCUCAAGAUCUUCAUUGUCUAGCUACAUAUAUACAAAUGAACAUUGUAAAACAAGACAUUUCCAGCUAUUAUUUCUCCUUGGUAGAAAUUUAAUAAAAACUGAGGAGUGAGGAGUGUUCU
Non-coding RNA from Salvia hispanica, 286 nucleotides. The record is from RefSeq and is a predicted model, not a curated record. Lineage: Eukaryota; Viridiplantae; Streptophyta; Magnoliopsida; Lamiales; Lamiaceae.